UAUUCUUCGAUCUAUAUUAAUUAUCUUUUGAGAUAUAUUUAAUAAGCUAAAUCAUACGAGUAUUCUAUCUCCUUAAAUUUUGGGACUAGAGUAUACAACAUCAACAUCCCAGUGUAAUCCCACAAUUUCAUAAGUGGAAUUUGAGGAGGAUAGAGUGCCUGCAAACAUUACCCCUAGAGUGAGUAGAUAUUUUUCCUCUGUCCAUUUUACGUGACAUACUUUUUUUUCAAGGGAAAAGAGCUAAAAAUAUCCUCCAUUACAAAUUUGGGUAAAAAAUACCCCUCCCGUCAUUAAAGUUUUCAAAUAUAGCCCUGUUUUAACAGAAAUCCCCAACAUAACCCGAUUUCAUUUUUAAACCCGCUCCGUUUAAACCUGACUGAACUAUAUAAAAAACGCAUAUGAGUUACCCGCUCCUUUACCCAAAGUAGAGAGGCAUUUUUGACCUUUUUCCCCUUUUUCAAUAUGUAUUUCUAUAUUUAAUAACAACAAUUAACUUUUUAGACAUCUCAUUUUACAACUUAUUGAAAUAAUUUGUAGAUGUUAUAGUAUAUUUCAACAGACCACAAAUUUUAAAUUUUUUAUAUUUUACACUCCGUCGGAGUAGUAAUUUAUUGUAAACUAGUUAACUUGUUCGCUCUUUGCGCGGUCUUAAAAAAUAUAUUGGAGGCGAUCUUCUUAUAAAUUAGUCCAUAUCAUGACCAAUCCUUAUAUUAACUUAAAAGUAUUAUCCCUUCUGAUCCAGUCUAGAAUAUACCAUUUCCUUAUUAUUUCAUACAAAGAAAAAUGAAAUGUUUUUAUAUUUGAAAAAAAAAAUAACUUCAAUAUUUCAUCUGCGUAAGCUUUUAAUUCGCUAUUGACCAUCAAAUGAAAUAUGAAUAAUUCAUCUUCCUCUCUCUCUCUCUCUCUAUAGCUUAAAGGAGGGAUGCUUCCGGUUUUGCGGUGUUUGAAAUAAUUUUGUUUUCUCCAUGUUAUGAUAUCUCUAAAGUCAAAAAUUAUAUAUGAGGAACUACUGAACUCAAACCUUUUUUGACUGUUCCUCGAUAUGGUCCAUUUAACAAAAGAUCAUACAUGUUAUGCACGUAGUCUUUUUUAAAAGUCUUCAUCUCUUUCUUAAAUUGUUUGCAAGUUAAACUAUGAAAAAUAACAAAAACAUGCCAAUAGUAAUACAAAGGAGAGAACAACUAACUAUUUUCUAAUCAGAUAAAAAAUGAACCUACAAACUCGUAAUAAAAAAUUGAAAAGCAUAGAUAUCAAUAUUUCAAUAAACAACCUGAUACAAAAUCAUGUAGCCAUUUCUGUAUUAGUCUAGAUAUCGAAGAAUGUGUAGAGUAAUAUCUGAUGAACACAAAUAAGAGGGAAGUAAAUUUUCAUGUCAAGAUAUUCUUUUUUUUAAAGAGCCAUUUCUGAAUUGUUUUGAGCUUUUACCUCAAACUCUUGAAUAAAGGGAAUGCAUCCCAUAAUCUCUCUUGCGUUCGCUCAAAUCAAUAUAUAUCUAUAAAGAUGGGAAUGAGCAAGGUGAUGUGGCAUGUCUCAUAGGCCAGUAUUACCAUUUAUCUUUUUUCUCAUAAUUUUGCAUUUUUUUCACAAAUUUUGUCCUCAAAACCUCCAAAAAGAUUUAAUAUAUCUUUCAUCAUUAUUGGCGUUUAUUCCUUUUUAUGAUAAUCCCUCUCUCUUCCUUCUCUUUAUAUAUUCUUUCACAAUAUACCGAAUGUGAUUUCCCCCCUCAUUUUUCUAGCAUUUACUUCUCAUUAAUAUCCCAUUAAAUAUAUGUUUAACUUUUUUUUUCCAAAAGAAAGAGUGUAACGGCUCAACAAUGAACAUAAUGGUGCAGUUACAUCCUAAAAAUUAUACUAUCUAUUUAAAUUCCAGCUAAUGAAUAUAUGGUGCAAGAUUUUCUUUCAUGCUUCAUAUCUAAAUUCUUAGAGAACCGUGGCUCCUUUCCUGUCGAAGGCUUGAAGGAUUGUUAAGACAAGCAAGGGGAGAGUCAAGAAGAUGGCAUGAGAAAGUGCAACCGUGAGAACUAAAGAGAGCAAGGAAGAAUCUCUUGACAAAUUGCAUAGCAUCUGAGCAGAUUAUACUAAGAUGAGACGACUUUAAUAGCAUAGAAGAAAUUCUAGACAAAUUGCAUAUCAUG
Long non-coding RNA from Lycium ferocissimum, 2134 nucleotides. RefSeq lists it as uncharacterized. The transcript is spliced from 3 exons. Lineage: Eukaryota; Viridiplantae; Streptophyta; Magnoliopsida; Solanales; Solanaceae. The record is from RefSeq and is a predicted model, not a curated record.